AGUAAGGCUGGUGUAGGGCAGGUGAAGCUGAGAGGGGCAGAAAACAUGCUUUGUUCAUCUUUACACGACUAAACACAGAGAAGUGUCGCUGCUUAAAGCUUUUCAGUGUAACUGUAGGAGCUCAGGAGUGUGUCAUCAUCCUCAUCCUCAUCAUCCUCCUCCUCAUCCUCAGCACCACCACCACCACGGGACGGAGAGGACGGCAGUCAGCAGGCAGAGCAGCUCGGAACUCCGCGCGGGAGAGAUGCUGCGAGCUCUGCCCCUGCCCCUGCCUCUGCCCCUGCCCCUGCCCCUGCCUCUGCCCCGCUGCACAGCACCACCGAGCUGGCUCUGCUCCCAUCCACUCGCCUGCUGAUCGGUUUGUGCACGAAGGGAACCGGAAACACCCAUCCGCAUCCUGCUCAGGAGUCCCGGUGUGUCUGUGCACCUUCACUCCCAGCUGCUCCUGGGUUCGAGAGGAGGUGGACAUCAGAAGAACCCGUGUGUAGUGAGGUGCAGUGAGGUGCAGUGAGGUGCAGUUCCCUCUCUUCUCUUCUCUUCUCUUCUCUUCUCUUCUUUCUCUUCAUUAAAAACAUCAUGCUGGACUAGUGCUGGAUGAGAGGACACUUUUCACCAUGAGCACGAACGGCCCCUACCAGCACCCCAGCUAUGGUGGAGGAAGUGGAGGCCAUGGCCAAGACUCCAUUACCUGCUUCCGAUGUGGUGAUAUGUGCAAAGGAGAAGUGGUGCGCGUGCAGAACGUCCACUUUCACGUCAAGUGUUUCACCUGCCAGGUGUGCGGCUGUGACCUGGCCUGUUCCGGAUUCUUCCAGCAGGCCGGUGAGUACAUCUGCACUGAGGACUACCAGCGGCUUUACGGCACUAAAUGUGACAGCUGCGGGGAAUUCAUCACCGGGGAGGUGGUGUCAGCUCUGAGCCGGGCUUACCACCCAAAGUGCUUUAUCUGCACCAUCUGCAGGAAGCCAUUUCCCAUCGGAGACAGGGUGACCUUCUGUGGGAAGAAGUGUGUGUGUCAGCAGUGCUCACACACACUCGUCAGCAGCAAUGAGCCCAUCAAGGUCCACGGGCCGAGUCAUUGUGCGGGCUGUAAGGAGGAGAUAACUCACGGUCAGUCCCUGCUGGCUCUGGAGAAACAGUGGCACGUCAGCUGCUUUAAGUGUCAGACCUGUGGCACAGUCCUGACUGGAGAGUACAUCAGCAAAAAUGGUAUUCCAUACUGCGAGUCAGAUUACCACAGACAGUUUGGGAUCAGGUGUGAGACGUGCAACAGAUACGUCAGCGGAAAAGUGCUGGAGGCCGGUGGAAAGCAUUAUCACCCGACUUGUGCGCGCUGUGCACGCUGUCAGAUGACAUUCACUGAAGGAGAAGAGAUGUACCUGGCAGGUUCGGAGGUGUGGCAUCUGAUGUGUAAGCAGGCUGCGAGGAUGGAGAGGAAGCUCAGGCUAAGACGCACCUCAGAGGCCUCCAUCUCUCCUCCCGGCUCCAGUAUAGGAUCUCCCAGCCGGGUCAUUUGUGCCAGAGUGGAGAAUGAGAUCCUCAGUCACAGGGCUCUGUCUUCAUUACCUAAGCUUAACGCUGUAUACGACGAGCCGCGACCCGAUCUCAUUCCUUACGAGGCGUAUCACAGAUACUUCUCUGAUGACAGGCUAGAGCGUUACCGCUAUGGGGAGGAUAUCUACGACGGCUUGGACCUCAGGCAUCGGCGUUCCUCCAGCCCAGGCUACAUCGACUCACCGACUUACAGCCGUCAGGGAAUGUCUCCCGCUGUGCCACGCUCCCCUCAGCUCUACUACCGCUAUGGCACUGAGAGUGGCAGGAGUUCUCCCUGUUACAGUCAGCUCGACGCCAGAUCCAACAUGUCCACCAUGUACCAAGCACCCAGGCAUUUCCAUGUGCCAGCCACUGCGGAGGCCAACAUCUACAGGAAGCCACCCAUCUAUAAGAGACAUGCUGCGAAGACUAAAACCAAUGAAGAUAUCCUGUCUUCCCCUUUUUCAUCUCCGGAUCACUACCAGCACUACUGCCACUACGCUGGCUCGCCGAAAGUUCCUCGAGCUCGUAGAUUCUCCUCAGGAGGAGAAGAAGACGGCUGGAGUCAGAGCAUUAACAGAAUCCAGGCUGGAAUCGGGAGGAUGAUCCUGAAGGAAGAGAUGAAGGCCCGGGCUGGUUCCUAUGACAACGACCCUUGGGCCAGUGCACGCAACUCUCGCAGUGGGAGCAAAGAAACCCUGUCCGGUCUGGGCUACAGUAACACUGUUAACGGCUCUCCCAGGUCGCAGUACAGUGCAGACAGCGAUCCAUUCAUCUCGAAAUCAGCUUCGUUGCCAGGCUAUGGCAGGAACGGUAUAAACAGGCCCCACAGUGCAGAUUACUUCCAUUACGACAGCACCAAUGCGGUAAAUUGGGGAUUUAGAGGUACGCGUGUUCUCAGCCCAGCUACAUCUAUACAUUAUAUGGCCAACAUAUGUUUCUGCACCCCUGACCAUCACACCCAUAUGUGCUUCUUCCCCAAACUGUUUCCCCAAAGUUGGAAGCUCACAAUUGUACAGAAUGUCACUGUAUGCUGUAGCUUUACAGUUUCCCUUCACUGGAACUAAGAGACUCAAACCUGUUCCAGCAUGACAAUGCCCCUGUGCACAAAGCGAGCUCCAUGAAGACAUGGUGUGUGAAGGUUGGAGUGGAAGAACUCGAGUGUCCUGCACAGAGCCCUGAACUUACUCAACCCCACUGAACACCUUUGGGAUGAACUGGAACUGGAGACUCCUUACCCAACAUCAGAGCCUGAUUUCACUAAUGCUCUUGUAGCUGAAUGAACACAAAUCCCCACAGCCACGCUCCAACAUCUAGUGGAAAGCUUCCCAGAAGAGUGGAGCUUAUUAUGAUAGCGAUGGGGGAAUAAAUCUGUAAUGAGAUGUUCAACAAGCACAUGUGGCUGUGAUGGUCAGGGGUGCACAUACUUUUGGCCACUGAUUCCUGCUUUUCUCUUUUUUUCUCUGUUUCAGAAUACAAGGUUAGCGACCACACAACCUGAUACUGAAGAAACCAGGAAAAGAACAAGAACCAUUUUUACUUGAUGAAAUAAAAAAUCCCGUGACAUUUUUUAGUUGUUUGUGAAACUCACAUUUUAACUGUGAAUUAGACAGUGACCUUCAGAGGGGUCACCAAUCAUUUAUCUUCAGGUUUUGCUUUCUGCAGUUAGCAAUGUUCUAAAUAUGAACCAAAGAAGCCUUUUAAAAAACUAGCACCAAUAACUUUCACAAAAAGGGAACAAAGCAGCUUAGCUAUAAAUAAAAAGGGCCAUAAACCAUGCUAAACAUAGCUAGCUAACAACCUAGUGGCUAGCUAGCAGCAAGAUACAGUAACAUAAAUUACAAGUCCACUGGAGUGGUAAAUUAUUUCCUAAUGUAGUUGACACAGUCUCAUUUCAAUCAUGUGACCAAACUAGCUAGCUAAUUCAUAAAAUGCUUUCUCUGUAUGUUUACAUUUUUAGUUUAUAAUGAACGAAUAUGCGGUCAGGGAGUGGUAAGUUUUUCGUAAGUGUUGUAGUGGUGAUUAAAUGUGUAAUUUACGUGUCUUUCUGACAUGGUUAGGGACACAUACUUUGGCAUUUAUUAAAAUUGUUGAGCUAUCAAAACCCCCCCUAACAUUUUGUCUUUACUUUCUUUUAAACAGUAAGUGACCCAGACACUAUGGUCUAAAUGUCCGAGUUUAUAAGCCGCUAACUUUCUUUUUAAUAUAUUCUUAUGCUGUGUAUUUUUCUCAAAAUGUGCUAUAACGUGUGCUAUAAAUACCAGCGCUCUAGUCAAGACUGCCAUUGUCAGGUCCAAACCCAGGACUAGCUGAGAUUGAGUCAAGGCCGAGUCAAGAUCAAGACCGAAAACCAUCAGAUUCUUUUCCCAUCCAAGCUUUUAAUUCAGUUUCACAUUUGUAAAUUCUCUUGAGAAUUAUCCAGAAUCCUGCCAUUGGGGAAAAAGGGCUUUUUUUUAUUAGAAGGCAAUGUCAACAUCCGUUCUUAAAUCGAGCUGAUUAUGCUAGUUCUGUCAACUAGUUAGCUUCAUUCAUGCUGCGCCAACGAUUAGUCUGUUUUCCAAAAGAAGGAAUUACUUCACAUGAAACUUUGUGUAUGCAAAAAGAAAAGACAACACAAACAUUAUUUUUAGAAACUCUCAGUCGAGAUCAAGACCAUAUUUACCGAGAACGAUGCCCAAGAAUGGCUCAAUAUAUAAAACAUCAACAUCUCAGUGCUACCAAAUACACACAAUUUUAUUUAUUUUAUUUAAAAUGCUUUUACAUAAAGCAGCUUAACAGAAAUCUAGAAAAAUUCAGUUAGAUUUAGAUCCCUAUUGUUGCUAGUGAUUUUAGUCCGCAGUUUUUUUUAAACUUAAUAAAGACUGAUACAGCUUUGUAUGAGAAAUACAAGUUUUAAAAAAUGAUUAGGUUUAUAUUAAUGCUGUUUAAAAACACUUCUUGGUAGUGGAUUUAGAAUUUUAUAGCCUGCUGUAUAUGCAUGAGCUAAAAAGCAAAAAGAUCCUUUUACAAUGCUUGGACAUUUUCACAAUACACAAUAUGUAUAAAAUAUUGAGCUUUUCUGGGGAUGUGCUAACGUACUGUUUCACAGUGCGGCUCUACCAGCAAGACUGUACAGCCAUAUUCUAUGUAAUUCUAUGGAAAAGUUUGUUUUCUUCAACAUUUACAGCACAAUAGUUUCAUGCAGUCAGUGGUAUAAAAGCUCUGAGCGUAAUUUAAUCACAUUGUCCACACCUAGAAUGAGCCACGUCAUCAUUAAUUGUUCAUUGUUCGUUAUGUCAGUUAUCUUUCUGACGUUUACAGAUUUAUCCAUAUCAGGAUCUCAUCGUCACUGUUCGAGGUCGUAACCCGCUUCCUGGUGACGUGGACAGGACGAGAUUAGAGAGACACCUGUCCCCUGACGAGUUCUACCAGGUGUUUGGGAUGACGAUGGCCGAUUUCGAGCGCUUGGCACUGUGGAAACAAAACGAGCUAAAGAAGCAGGCGAGGCUGUUCUAGGAAAUAAAGCUGUGGACCUCACC
This is an RNA transcript of Pangasianodon hypophthalmus (striped catfish), 5048 nucleotides long. It is a transcript of the gene named actin-binding LIM protein 3, with no coding region annotated. The transcript has 20 exons. The record is from RefSeq and is a predicted model, not a curated record. NCBI's taxonomy places the organism in Eukaryota, Metazoa, Chordata, Actinopteri, Siluriformes, Pangasiidae.